ACCGAGUGAGGGCCCUCUGGGUCCAACCUCCCACCCGUGUCUAUCGUACCUUGUUGCUUCGGCGGGCCCGCCGUUUCGACGGCCGCCGGGGAGGCCUCGCGCCCCCGGGCCCGCGCCCGCCGAAGACCCCAACAUGAACGCUGUUCUGAAAGUAUGCAGUCUGAGUUGAUUAUCAUAAUCAGUUAAAACUUUCAACAACGGAUCUCUUGGUUCCGGCAUCGAUGAAGAACGCAGCGAAAUGCGAUAAGUAAUGUGAAUUGCAGAAUUCAGUGAAUCAUCGAGUCUUUGAACGCACAUUGCGCCCCCUGGUAUUCCGGGGGGCAUGCCUGUCCGAGCGUCAUUGCUGCCCUCAAGCACGGCUUGUGUGUUGGGCCCCGUCCCCUCCCCCGGGGACGGGCCCGAAAGGCAGCGGCGGCACCGCGUCCGAUCCUCGAGCGUAUGGGGCUUUGUCACCCGCUCUGUAGGCCCGGCCGGCGCCAGCCGACACCCAACUUUUAUUUCUAAGGUUGACCUCGGAUCAGGUAGGGAUACCCGCUGAACUUAAGCAUAUCAAUAAGCGGAGGAAAAGAAACCAACAGGGAUUGCCUCAGUAACGGCGAGUGAAGCGGCAAGAGCUCAAAUUUGAAAGCUGGCCCCCUCGGGGUCCGCGUUGUAAUUUGCAGAGGAUGCUUCGGGUGCAGCCCCCGUCUAAGUGCCCUGGAACGGGCCGUCAUAGAGGGUGAGAAUCCCGUCUGGGACGGGGUGCCUGCGUCCGUGUGAAGCUCCUUCGACGAGUCGAGUUGUUUGGGAAUGCAGCUCUAAAUGGGUGGUAAAUUUCAUCUAAAGCUAAAUACUGGCCGGAGACCGAUAGCGCACAAGUAGAGUGAUCGAAAGAUGAAAAGCACUUUGAAAAGAGAGUUAAACAGCACGUGAAAUUGUUGAAAGGGAAGCGUUUGCGACCAGACUCGCCCGCGGGGUUCAGCCGGCAUUCGUGCCGGUGUACUUCCCCGUGGGCGGGCCAGCGUCGGUUUGGGCGGCCGGUCAAAGGCCCUCGGAAUGUAUCACCUCUCGGGGUGUCUUAUAGCCGAGGGUGCAAUGCGGCCUGCCCGGACCGAGGAACGC
Molecule: unclassified non-coding RNA, 1101 nt
Filed under: leaf metagenome
Description: partial contains internal transcribed spacer 1, 5.8S ribosomal RNA, internal transcribed spacer 2, and large subunit ribosomal RNA
Rfam family: Eukaryotic large subunit ribosomal RNA (bases 508-1101)
Source: RNAcentral